CUAGGAAUCUGCCUGGUAGUGGGGGAUAACGUUCGGAAACGGACGCUAAUACCGCAUACGUCCUACGGGAGAAAGCAGGGGACCUUCGGGCCUUGCGCUAUCAGAUGAGCCUAGGUCGGAUUAGCUAGUUGGUGAGGUAAUGGCUCACCAAGGCGACGAUCCGUAACUGGUCUGAGAGGAUGAUCAGUCACACUGGAACUGAGACACGGUCCAGACUCCUACGGGAGGCAGCAGUGGGGAAUAUUGGACAAUGGGCGAAAGCCUGAUCCAGCCAUGCCGCGUGUGUGAAGAAGGUCUUCGGAUUGUAAAGCACUUUAAGUUGGGAGGAAGGGCAGUUACCUAAUACGUGAUUGUUUUGACGUUACCGACAGAAUAAGCACCGGCUAACUCUGUGCCAGCAGCCGCGGUAAUACAGAGGGUGCAAGCGUUAAUCGGAAUUACUGGGCGUAAAGCGCGCGUAGGUGGUUUGUUAAGUUGGAUGUGAAAUCCCCGGGCUCAACCUGGGAACUGCAUUCAAAACUGACUGACUAGAGUAUGGUA
This 540-nucleotide ribosomal RNA is filed under the name Pseudomonas extremaustralis. Its description in RNAcentral is "bacterial SSU rRNA". It matches the Rfam family "Bacterial small subunit ribosomal RNA", at positions 117 to 653 of the family's 1533-position model. The record is from RNAcentral. Lineage: Bacteria; Pseudomonadati; Pseudomonadota; Gammaproteobacteria; Pseudomonadales; Pseudomonadaceae.